RNAcentral lists this ribosomal RNA (254 nucleotides) under uncultured bacterium. RNAcentral describes it as "partial 16S ribosomal RNA". It matches the Rfam family "Bacterial small subunit ribosomal RNA", at positions 524 to 776 of the family's 1533-position model. The record is from RNAcentral.
UACGAAGGGGGCUAGCGUUGUUCGGAAUUACUGGGCGUAAAGCGUAUGCAGGCGGAUCGUUAAGUCGGGGGUGAAAUCCCGAGGCUCAACCUCGGAACUGCCUUCGAUACUGGCGACCUUCGAGUCCGGGAGAGGUGAGUGGAACUCCGAGUGUAGAGGUGAAAUUCGUAGAUAUUGGGAAGAACACCGGUGGCGAAGGCGGCUCACUGGCUCAUAUCUGACGCUCAGGCGCGACAGCGUGGGGAUCAAACAGG